RNAcentral lists this ribosomal RNA (247 nucleotides) under uncultured bacterium. RNAcentral's name for it is "partial 16S ribosomal RNA". It matches the Rfam family "Bacterial small subunit ribosomal RNA", at positions 111 to 353 of the family's 1533-position model. The record is from RNAcentral.
UAACACGUGGGUAACCUGCCUUAUAGUGGGGGGAUAGCCUUUCGAAAGGAAGAUUAAUACCGCAUAAGAUUGUAGUAUCGCAUGAUAUAGCAAUUAAAGGAGCAAUUCGCUAUAAGAUGGACCCGCGUCGCAUUAGCUAGUUGGUGAGGUAAUGGCUCACCAAGGCGACGAUGCGUAGCCGACCUGAGAGGGUGAUCGGCCACAUUGGGACUGAGACACGGCCCAGACUCCUACGGGAGGCAGCAUG